RNAcentral lists this ribosomal RNA (253 nucleotides) under uncultured bacterium. RNAcentral's name for it is "partial 16S ribosomal RNA". It matches the Rfam family "Bacterial small subunit ribosomal RNA", at positions 524 to 776 of the family's 1533-position model. The record is from RNAcentral.
UACGUAGGGUGCAAGCGUUGUCCGGAAUUAUUGGGCGUAAAGAGCUCGUAGGCGGUCUGUCGCGUCUGGUGUGAAAAUCCAGGGCUUAACCCUGGACCUGCAUCGGGUACGGGCAGACUAGAGUGCGGUAGGGGAGAUCGGAAUUCCUGGUGUAGCGGUGAAAUGCGCAGAUAUCAGGAGGAACACCGGUGGCGAAGGCGGGUCUCUGGGCCGAUACUGACGCUGAGGAGCGAAAGCAUGGGUAGCGAACAGG